UGGAGGAAGGGUGAAGUCUGUGCUCUCUUGAGCACAGGCACAAUAUUCAAGUAUCAACCAUGUGUUUUGUUAUCUAGAAGUCUAUUUUGCCUGCCUGACUUGACUGCCAUUUUCUGCUUGAAUCAAGUCAGCAGUGUUAUAGGAGGAGGAUAGAGAACCAGAACAGAUGAAGGUACCACACAACUUUUCUCCCAGCGAAGCAGCAACUGCGGCAGCUGAGACCCCUUCUGAAUCAAGGUGCCAGUAUCAGAUACAAAUGCUCUCUCAUCUUCCAGACAAUCAAGGACUUUCAUCUUUCAAUAGCGACCUAAAAAAGUAAGUUUGAAAAAGUAAUGCUUCUUUGGCAAUACUUGUAAUGUAUUGUGUUAUCAAGGUUGAAAUUGGUGCUUUAUAGUUCUGAAUUCGGUGUUCAGGCUGCUAAGGCCAGAUGGUUUGAGCCAUAAAUCCUGGCUCUAUUAC
Zootoca vivipara (common lizard) is the source of this 459-nucleotide long non-coding RNA. RefSeq lists it as uncharacterized. NCBI's taxonomy places the organism in Eukaryota, Metazoa, Chordata, Lepidosauria, Squamata, Lacertidae. The record is from RefSeq and is a predicted model, not a curated record.